Molecule: long non-coding RNA, 3424 nt
Organism: Zingiber officinale
Lineage: Eukaryota; Viridiplantae; Streptophyta; Magnoliopsida; Zingiberales; Zingiberaceae
Exons: 2
Source: RefSeq, a predicted model, not a curated record
CCUUCAGAUCUCAAUUUGCUUUGGAUAAGGUCCGAGAAAUGUAAUGGGCCGGUUCAAGGGCUAUUGGUGGGCCGGCCCAACUUAUAUUCCCCCGCACACAAUGCCUUCAUCAGUGCCACAAGCUCCUGCUCCCCUUUGUGGAUUGGCCUUGCGUCGAAGAUAUGAGAUUGAUGAGGGUGACGGAUCGAGAUCGGCUGUGGACACUUCGUCGCAAACCCUAGGCCAAGUUGAUUCAUGGUCUUUUGUGUUUUAUUCUUUCCUUCUUUGGCUGUCUACCUCCUUAGGAAAGUCGCGCUUUCUCAUUGCUGACCACUGACAUCCAUCUUCGUAUUCAAGAGAAGUUCCAGUUUCACAGCAAUCCAGCAUUUUUGGAGUCAAUACAUGCAUCAUUAAAAUUUGAUGUCAUUCACUGGCCAUUUUCAUUUUAUGGCAAGUAGACAGCUUCUUCAUGUGCAAGGAUGGUUUCCCACCUAUGCUAACUUUGAUACUUGCUUUUAUAUAGGUAAUUUCAUCUUGAACACAUCUGGCAUUUAGAUGAUGGAAAGAAUAAAGUUUCCUAUAUUGUUAGACCAUAGAGGAUCAAGAAGGUUUGUUUGUCCAUUUAUCAACAAAUAAGAUUAUAUCUCAUGAUGCAUUUUACUAGAAAUCAGCUUCCUUUCACUGUUUACAAAAUGAUUCUUUUGGUGAGAUAUAUUUUUCUUGACAGUUGAUUUGUCAAGAAAAUAUGGAACUAUACAAGAAACUAAACUUGAGGCCCAUUUGAUUCUAUUUCACUCAUGUGCAUUUGCACACUAUGUACUUACAAACUUUGCACAAGGAUUUCUCCUUUAAUUGUUAGGUUUAUGAAACAAGGGAAGGGGAUGACAUCGAUAUAGGCUUCAGUUUUAGUGUCACCGAAGAAGCAUAUAUGUGCAUUCUCCUCCAACUAAGCCAACCACAAAUUGAUGGAACACAAAUGGAUGAAAUUAUUGCUAACAAAGAGGAUGAUGUUUCACACCUUUGAUGAGGUAGGCAAACUUCAGGUUCGCCAUAGAUGAGAUUAUGAUUUUCUGAAUGGUCCAAAUACAGAACCCCAAAAAUGGUUGACAUACUUCAUGAUUUAACUAUGAAACAUAAGGAAUCUGUUGUCUCUAGGAGAAUAUGAGCAAAGAAACAAAAUAGUUAUAAUUGACUUAUUGUUCAUUCUAGUAAACAGUGGCAAUCCUUAGUAUAAGUUAGCAAUACCUCAAAACACCAACAAUACAAUCUCAUCAAAAUUUGUUAAAAAAAAAUUGUCCAAUGUUUGAUAAAUAGGCUUACAAAAUUCUAUCAUAUUGUUGUUCUUGGUCCAUUCCAAUUUCCAUGAGCAUGCUUUUUCUUUAGAUUAAAAUAAAGUGUACAUAUAAAUACAUAGGUUAAAUAACACUAUUUUAUAGGCUGUUGUUUGUUUAGUCAAGGAUUGCUCCUCAGUCAGUCACCCUACAGUCCAAGGUUUCACACUCAUGAAGACCGAUUACUCUGAGCCUCUUUGGAAAUCAAAAAAAGAAUCCCUUUUAAGUUUUAUGCCACCUUGCAUGGUGAAAGGAUUAAUUUUUAACACAUUAAGCAUGUGCCUCCUGCUAGGACCAUGAGUCUUCCAAACCUGAUUAAAUCAAAGAAUGAGAACCAGUAGGCAAUUCGAUCAAAAUGCCAAUGAAUUGAUCGAUUCAGUCUGAAAGACGGGAAAGAUAAGGACUAGACUUAAUCCACCAACCAUGGUAGACAUUGCACACCAACAUGAGGCAUAUUUGGUUUUAUUAGAAGGUGGCAUUAAUUAACCAGUAGCAGUCAAACUUUUGGUAGGUGGAAUUUCUGGAUUUUAGUGUCCCAAAUGGACAAGAUCUACUUAACUAACUCAUUCUUCUUUCCCAUUGAUUAAUCCCACCAAGAAAUUGAUUUUCACAGGCAGUUGAUACCAAUUUUUUUCUUCACUAUUGGAUCUUCUAAAUGUUUCUUUAUCUCAAUCUUCUUCUUACUUGAUAGUGUAAUGUCACUACACCAAGAACACCUUGCAUAUUGAAUAUCUGAUCCUAAAUUGUCAUUUAGAAUAGCUUAACAUUCAAAUGAUCUCUAAGAUUGGAUGAUAUCGUGAAUGAAUUAAAGGACCCUCUUUGGAUUUAAAGCUAUUAAUUGUCUCUUUGAUAUUAGAUAGCCCAACUAUUCCAAUGGAAAUCUUCUUUGUAUGUCAUAUGAAUUGUAUACUUUAAUGAGUUCUUUAUGUUUUCUAGAUAUUUAAAAAGGUAAAUAUGAGAUCAACACAGUUUCUUUAAUUCAGAUAAUCUUCUUUUACAUAUAAUAUAUAUCUCUAUGCUACCAAAGACUUGCAUUUACCAUGCACAUUAUCCUUCACUGUGAGGAUUAAAAAACUGGAGGUAAGAUUCCUCCUCGUGUUUUUGCUUAUAACUAGUCAAAAAAUUGCUCCUUUAUUUUCCUCCAGUCAUCAUCAUGCAGCUCAUGCUUUCACACUCUUGAUGACUCGUUGACUCAUGGUUGGUGAAAGUUCAAAGAGAAAACAAGAAUGAGAACCAAACUUCACAAUUUACUGAUCACAGCACCAAACAUAUAUUCAGACUGGAGUUGAACAAGGGCCACCUCCCUUUGGUUGUCUGGGCAGGCAUGGAGCUUGGCAUCAUACACAGGUAACAUCAAACGGAAUCAGUUUCAAAGUUAGGACUACAAAAUUCAAUUUUUCCUUGGGGCCACGUUAUAUGCUGCAUUUUAUUAAAAGGAGAUUAUGGUUGUCAUAUUGUGAGGAGUCAAAGUUUGGGUAGGUGGCAUCCAUGAUUGGCUGUAUGUCUCCCUAAUCGACUAGUUAACUAACUUAGUCAUCUAUCCCGUUAAUCUCGGGCUUCAAUUUGUCGUGCCCGACUAGGAAUUAUUAAAUUGAAUUCAACUAGAAGUAGAUUCCAGUUUUUGUUCAUAUUCUUUGAUCUAGGCUCUUUAUUUUAUUGGCACAACUGUGACCAACUGUUACUGAGGAGCAUCAUAAUACCAACUUAGUUUUGAUAGUGCACACCAGGAUUGUGGUGAUUGAGGGCAAAAUUGUAUCAUUGUGGAGCCUGAGAACAUCUACUCGUAGUUCAAGCUGAUUGGUUAGAUCAAGAUCGAUAUGUUAUGCUAUCGACAUUUAUCAGUCAGAAGAGAUAGUUGCAGAUAGGACUAACAUGCUUGAUUGGCAGACGAAGCUUAUAGAGCAGGGGCCUUUUCUUUCCUGCGAAAGAGAUCUCUCUUUUCCUUUUUUUUGAUGUCAUCCAAGUUAGGUAUGUGUUUGAAUGAAUGUCAAUAUGUCAUGGAGAACAUUUUGUCAAAUUAAGAUGUCGAUACAUAAUCAAAUUUGGACUACUUCUCCGUGACAUGUGUAUCUUUAGGAGGCCAAUGUGUGUGAAUCUAAGCAUGCUUUGAUCGA